UGGGGAAUUUUGGACAAUGGGCGAAAGCCUGAUCCAGCAAUGCCGCGUGUGUGAAGAAGGCCUUCGGGUUGUAAAGCACUUUUGUCCGGAAAGAAAUCCUUGGCUCUAAUACAGUCGGGGGAUGACGGUACCGGAAGAAUAAGCACCGGCUAACUACGUGCCAGCAGCCGCGGUAAUACGUAGGGUGCAAGCGUUAAUCGGAAUUACUGGGCGUAAAGCGUGCGCAGGCGGUUUGCUAAGACCGAUGUGAAAUCCCCGGGCUCAACCUGGGAACUGCAUUGGUGACUGGCAGGCUAGAGUAUGGCAGAGGGGGGUAGAAUUCCACGUGUAGCAGUGAAAAUGCGUAGAGAUGUGGAGGAAUACCGAUGGCGAAGGCAGCCCCCUGGGCCAAUACUGACGCUCAUGCACGAAAAGCGUGGGGAGCAAACAGGAUUAGAUACCCUGGUAGUCCACGCCCUAAAACGAUGUCAACUAGUUGUUGGGGGAUUCAUUUCCUUAGUAACGUAGCUAACGCGUGAAGUUGACCGCCUGGGGGAGUACGGUCGCAAGAUUAAAAACUCAAAGGAAAUUGACGGGGGUCAUAGCUGUUUCCU
RNAcentral lists this ribosomal RNA (593 nucleotides) under uncultured bacterium. RNAcentral describes it as "partial 16S ribosomal RNA". It matches the Rfam family "Bacterial small subunit ribosomal RNA", at positions 355 to 938 of the family's 1533-position model. The record is from RNAcentral.